RNAcentral lists this ribosomal RNA (541 nucleotides) under uncultured bacterium. RNAcentral's name for it is "bacterial SSU rRNA". It matches the Rfam family "Bacterial small subunit ribosomal RNA", at positions 355 to 896 of the family's 1533-position model. The record is from RNAcentral.
UGAGGAAUAUUGGUCAAUGGGCGAGAGCCUGAACCAGCCAAGUCGCGUGAAGGAUGACUGUCUUAUGGAUUGUAAACUUCUUUUAUACGGGAAUAACAAGAGUCACGUGUGGCUCCCUGCAUGUACCGUAUGAAUAAGCAUCGGCUAACUCCGUGCCAGCAGCCGCGGUAAUACGGAGGAUGCGAGCGUUAUCCGGAUUUAUUGGGUUUAAAGGGUGCGUAGGCGGCCUGUUAAGUCAGCGGUGAAAUCUAGGAGCUUAACUCCUAAAUUGCCAUUGAUACUGGCGGGCUUGAGUGUAGAUGAGGUAGGCGGAAUGCGUGGUGUAGCGGUGGAAUGCAUAGAUAUCACGCAGAACUCCGAUUGCGAAGGCAGCUUACUAAGGUACAACUGACGCUGAAGCACGAAAGCGUGGGUAUCAAACAGGAUUAGAUACCCUGGUAGUCCACGCAGUAAACGAUGAUAACUGGGCGUAUGCGAUAUACAGUAUGCUCCUAAGCGAAAGCGUUAAGUUAUCCACCUGGGGAGUACGCCGGCAACGGUG